GAGUUUGAUCAUGGCUCAGGACGAACGCUGGCGGCGUGCUUAACACAUGCAAGUCGAACGGUGAAGGGGUCUGCUUUUGUGGGUCCUGGAUGAGUGGCGAACGGGUGAGUAACACGUGAGUAACCUGCCCCCUUCUUCUGGAUAACCGCAUGAAAGUGUGGCUAAUACGGGAUAUUCUGUGCCUGCUGCAUGGUGGGUGUGGGAAAGAUUGCGCCUUUGGGUGUUUUUGGUGGGGGAUGGGCUCGCGGCCUAUCAGCUUGUUGGUGGGGUGAUGGCCCACCAAGGCGGUGACGGGUAGCCGGCCUGAGAGGGUGGACGGUCACACUGGGACUGAGACACGGCCCAGACUCCUACGGGAGGCAGCAGUGGGGAAUAUUGCACAAUGGGCGCAAGCCUGAUGCAGCGACGCCGCGUGAGGGAUGGAGGCCUUCGGGUUGUAAACCUCUUUCGCCAGUGAAGCAGGCCUGUCCCUUGGUGGGUGGGUUGACGGUAGCUGGAUAAGAAGCGCCGGCUAACUACGUGCCAGCAGCCGCGGUAAUACGUAGGGCGCGAGCGUUGUCCGGAAUUAUUGGGCGUAAAGAGCUCGUAGGCGGCUGGUCGCGUCUGUCGUGAAAUCCUCUGGCUUAACUGGGGGCUUGCGGUGGGUACGGGCCGGCUUGAGUGCGGUAGGGGAGACUGGAACUCCUGGUGUAGCGGUGGAAUGCGCAGAUAUCAGGAAGAACACCGGUGGCGAAGGCGGGUCUCUGGGCCGUUACUGACGCUGAGGAGCGAAAGCGUGGGGAGCGAACAGGAUUAGAUACCCUGGUAGUCCACGCCGUAAACGUUGGGCACUAGGUGUGGGGGGCCUUUUCCGGGUUUUCCGCGCCGUAGCUAACGCAUUAAGUGCCCCGCCUGGGGAGUACGGCCGCAAGGCUAAAACUCAAAGGAAUUGACGGGGGCCCGCACAAGCGGCGGAGCAUGCGGAUUAAUUCGAUGCAACGCGAAGAACCUUACCAAGGCUUGACGUGUGCCGCUCGCCCCCCCCCCCGGGGUUUCCUCCUUGUGGGGCCGGUACACAGGUGGUGCAUGGUUGUCGUCAGCUCGUGUCGUGAGAUGUUGGGUUAAGUCCCGCAACGAGCGCAACCCUUGUCCCGUGUUGCCAGCACGUUGUGGUGGGGACUCGCGGGAGACUGCCGGGGUCAACUCGGAGGAAGGUGGGGAUGACGUCCCAUCAUCAUGCCCCUUAUGUCUUGGGCUUCACGCCCGCUACAAUGGCCGGUACAGAGGGCUGCGAUAUCGUGAGGUGGAGCGAAUCCCUUAAAGCCGGUCUCAGUUCGGAUCGGUGUCUGCAACUCGACACCGUGAAGUUGGAGUCGCUAGUAAUCGCAGAUCAGCAACGCUGCGGUGAAUACGUUCUCGGGCCUUGUACACACCGCCCGUC
RNAcentral lists this ribosomal RNA (1420 nucleotides) under uncultured bacterium. RNAcentral describes it as "bacterial SSU rRNA". It matches the Rfam family "Bacterial small subunit ribosomal RNA". The record is from RNAcentral.